This 253-nucleotide ribosomal RNA is filed under the name uncultured bacterium. RNAcentral's name for it is "partial 16S ribosomal RNA". It matches the Rfam family "Bacterial small subunit ribosomal RNA", at positions 524 to 776 of the family's 1533-position model. The record is from RNAcentral.
UACGAAGGGGGCUAGCGUUGCUCGGAAUGACUGGGCGUAAAGGGCGCGUAGGCGGAUGGUACAGUCAGAUGUGAAAUUCCUGGGCUUAACCUGGGGGCUGCAUUUGAUACGUGUUGUCUAGAGUGAGGAAGAGGGUCGUGGAAUUCCCAGUGUAGAGGUGAAAUUCGUAGAUAUUGGGAAGAACACCGGUGGCGAAGGCGGCUCUCUGGACCGACACUGACGCUGAGGCGCGAAAGCGUGGGGAGCAAACAGG